Molecule: transfer RNA, 72 nt
Filed under: Erinaceus europaeus (western European hedgehog)
Lineage: Eukaryota; Metazoa; Chordata; Mammalia; Eulipotyphla; Erinaceidae
Rfam family: tRNA
About the family: Transfer RNA (tRNA) molecules are approximately 80 nucleotides in length. Their secondary structure includes four short double-helical elements and three loops (D, anti-codon, and T loops).
Source: Rfam by way of RNAcentral
AGGGAUGUAGCUCAGUGGUAUAGUACAUGCUUCGUAUGCAUGAGGUCCUGGGUUUGAUUACCAGCACCUCCC